This 346-nucleotide ribosomal RNA is filed under the name uncultured bacterium. RNAcentral's name for it is "partial 16S ribosomal RNA". It matches the Rfam family "Bacterial small subunit ribosomal RNA", at positions 338 to 682 of the family's 1533-position model. The record is from RNAcentral.
CCUACGGGUGGCAGCAGUGAGGAAUAUUGGGCAAUGGACGCAAGUCUGAACCAGCCAUGCCGCGUGCAGGAAGACGGCGCGAUGAGUUGUAAACUGCUGUUGUACGAGGGUAAACGCAGAUACGCGUAUCUGUCUGAAAGUAUCCUACGAAUAAGGAUCGGCUAACUCCGUGCCAGCAGCCGCGGUAAUACGGAGGAUUCAAGCGUUAUCCGGAGUUAUUGGGUUUAAAGGGUGCGUAGGCGGAUCGUUAAGUCAGUGGUCAAAUUGAGGGGCUCACCCCCUUCCCGCCAUUGAAACUGGCGUUCUUGAGUGGAGGCGAGGUAUGCGGAAUGCGUGGUGUAGCGGU